This 119-nucleotide ribosomal RNA is filed under the name Helianthus annuus (common sunflower). Lineage: Eukaryota; Viridiplantae; Streptophyta; Magnoliopsida; Asterales; Asteraceae. The record is from RNAcentral.
UGUGGCGAUCAUACCAGCACUAAUGCACCGGAUCCCAUCAGAACUCCGCAGUUAAGCGUGCUUGGGCGAGAGUAGUACUAGGAUGGGUGACCCCCUGGGAAGUCCUCGUGUUGCAACCC